RNAcentral lists this ribosomal RNA (228 nucleotides) under uncultured bacterium. RNAcentral's name for it is "partial 16S ribosomal RNA". It matches the Rfam family "Bacterial small subunit ribosomal RNA", at positions 15 to 252 of the family's 1533-position model. The record is from RNAcentral.
GAUCAUGGCUCAGGACGAACGCUGGCGGCGUGCUUAAGACAUGCAAGUCGAACGAAUGUAGAAAUACAUUAGUGGCGGACUGGUGAGUAACGUGUGAGCAAUCUGCCUCUAACUGGGGGAUAACACUUAGAAAUAGGUGCUAAUACCGCAUAAGACCACAUGAAGGCAUCUUCGAGGGGUCAAAGAUUUAUCGGUUAGAGAUGAGCUCGCAUCCCAUUAGCUAGUUGG